UACGAAGGGGGCUAGCGUUGCUCGGAAUGACUGGGCGUAAAGGGCGCGUAGGCGGCUAGAUAAGUCCGGUGUGAAAGUCACAGGCUCAACCUGUGAAUGCCGCUGGAAACUGUCUGGCUAGAGUCCGGAAGGGGCGAGUGGAAUUCCUGGUGUAGCGGUGAAAUGCGCAGAUAUCAGGAGGAACACCAAUGGCGAAGGCAGCUCGCUGGGACGGUACUGACGCUGAGGCGCGAAAGCGUGGGGAGCAAACAGG
This 253-nucleotide ribosomal RNA is filed under the name uncultured bacterium. RNAcentral's name for it is "partial 16S ribosomal RNA". It matches the Rfam family "Bacterial small subunit ribosomal RNA", at positions 524 to 776 of the family's 1533-position model. The record is from RNAcentral.